UCCGUAGGUGAACCUGCGGAAGGAUCAUUAAUGAGUUGGAAGGUGGAGGUUGAUGCUGGUACAUAUAUUUAUUGUGUGUACAUGUGCUCGCCUUCACACUCUUCGUCCUCUUAACUCCUGUGCACUCUAUCAGAGUUAGUAGUAGUAUUUGUGGCGGUCAUUUGUUAUUCAUUGUUAGAGAGGGGCAACGCUUUCUGAUAAUAAUAAUCACCUUGAUUCUACUGUUACUAUGAACACUUUGACUUUAUUUAUAUACAAAUACUUUACUUGUUCUUGUGAAUGUAUAAUGCUCCUCGUGAGUGACAUACAAAUAUACAACUUUCAACAACGGAUCUCUUGGCUCUCGCAUCGAUGAAGAACGCAGCGAAAUGCGAUAAGUAAUGUGAAUUGCAGAAUUCAGUGAAUCAUCGAAUCUUUGAACGCACCUUGCGCCCCUUGGUAUUCCGAGGGGCAUGCCUGUUUGAGUGUCAUAUAAUUCUCAAUCUUCUUCUUCUUAAUUGUGAAGGGGUUUGGACUUGGAGGUAUAUGAAUGCUGGUACUGUCUGUAUCGGCUCCUCUUAAAUGCAGUAGCUGGACUGUAGCUUGCGUUGUUUGGUGUAAUAGUUUUAUAUCUAUAUUCACUGCAGCGCUUACUGAGACCGUCUGCUUCCAAUAGUCCGCCUGUGUGUCGGACAAGGUGCUUUGUUGCCUUAAACCAAUUUGACUCUUUUGAUCUCAAAUCAGGUAGGACUACCCGCUGAACUUAAGCAUAUCAAUAAGCGGAGGAA
This 767-nucleotide ribosomal RNA is filed under the name Fomitiporia ivindoensis. RNAcentral describes it as "eukaryotic LSU rRNA". The stretch from base 317 to 470 matches the Rfam family "5.8S ribosomal RNA". The record is from RNAcentral. Lineage: Eukaryota; Fungi; Basidiomycota; Agaricomycetes; Hymenochaetales; Hymenochaetaceae.